RNAcentral lists this ribosomal RNA (436 nucleotides) under uncultured Oscillospiraceae bacterium. RNAcentral describes it as "bacterial SSU rRNA". It matches the Rfam family "Bacterial small subunit ribosomal RNA", at positions 341 to 792 of the family's 1533-position model. RNAcentral also lists the same sequence under 1 other name. The record is from RNAcentral. Lineage: Bacteria; Bacillati; Bacillota; Clostridia; Eubacteriales; Oscillospiraceae.
ACGGGAGGCAGCAGUGGGGAAUAUUGGGCAAUGGGCGCAAGCCUGACCCAGCAACGCCGCGUGAAGGAUGAAGGUCUUCGGAUUGUAAACUUCUUUAAUCGGGGAAGAAAAAAAUGACCUACCCGAAGAAUAAGCCACGGCUAACUACGUGCCAGCAGCCGCGGUAAUACGUAGGUGGCAAGCGUUAUCCGGAUUUACUGGGUGUAAAGGGCGUGUAGGCGGAGCUGCAAGUCAGAUGUGAAAUCCCGGGGCUCAACCCCGGAACUGCAUUUGAAACUGUAGCCCUUGAGUAUCGGAGAGGCAAGCGGAAUUCCUAGUGUAGCGGUGAAAUGCGUAGAUAUUAGGAGGAACACCAGUGGCGAAGGCGGCUUGCUGGACGACAACUGACGCUGAGGCGCGAAAGCGUGGGGAGCAAACAGGAUUAGAUACCCUGGUA